GUUAGCACAAUUUGCAUAAGUUCGCUUACUCCUUCCCAUUCCGAACAGGACAGUUAAGGUCUAUAGCGCCGAUGGUACUGCAUGGGAGACUGUGUGGAAGAGUAGGACGUCGCCAGGU
This 118-nucleotide ribosomal RNA is filed under the name Clostridium butyricum. Lineage: Bacteria; Bacillati; Bacillota; Clostridia; Eubacteriales; Clostridiaceae. The record is from RNAcentral.